GACGAACGCUGGCGGCGUGCCUAAUACAUGCAAGUCGAGCGGACAGAUGGGAGUUUGCUCCCUGAAGUCAGCGGCGGACGGGUGAGUAACACGUGGGCAACCUGCCUGUAAGACUGGGAUAACUUCGGGAAACCGGAGCUAAUACCGGAUAAUCCUUUCCUUUCAUGAGGAAAAGCUGAAAGACGGUUUCGGCUGUCACUUACAGAUGGGCCCGCGGCGCAUUAGCUAGUUGGUGAGGUAACGGCUCACCAAGGCGACGAUGCGUAGCCGACCUGAGAGGGUGAUCGGCCACACUGGGACUGAGACACGGCCCAGACUCCUACGGGAGGCAGCAGUAGGGAAUCUUCCGCAAUGGACGAAAGUCUGACGGAGCAACGCCGCGUGAACGAUGAAGGCCUUCGGGUCGUAGAGUUCUGUUGUUAGGGAAGAACAAGUACCGUUCAAAUAGGGCGGUACCUUGACGGUACCUAACCAGAAAGCCACGGCUAACUACGUG
RNAcentral lists this ribosomal RNA (496 nucleotides) under uncultured bacterium. Its description in RNAcentral is "bacterial SSU rRNA". It matches the Rfam family "Bacterial small subunit ribosomal RNA", at positions 28 to 507 of the family's 1533-position model. The record is from RNAcentral.